UACGUAGGGUCCGAGCGUUGUCCGGAAUUACUGGGCGUAAAGAGCUUGUAGGCGGUUCGUCGCGUCGUUUGUGAAAACUCACAACUCAAUUGUGGGCGUGCGGGCGAUACGGGCAGACUGGAGUACUGCAGGGGAGACUGGAAUUCCUGGUGUAGCGGUGGAAUGCGCAGAUAUCAGGAGGAACACCGGUGGCGAAGGCGGGUCUCUGGGCCGAUACUGACGCUGAGGAGCGAAAGCGUGGGGAGCGAACAGG
Molecule: ribosomal RNA, 253 nt
Filed under: uncultured bacterium
Lineage: Bacteria
Description: partial 16S ribosomal RNA
Rfam family: Bacterial small subunit ribosomal RNA
Source: RNAcentral